CCUACGGGCGGCAGCAGUGGGGAAUAUUGCACAAUGGGGGAAACCCUGAUGCAGCGACGCCGCGUGAGUGAAGAUGUAUUUCGGUAUGUAAAGCUCUUUUAGCAGGGAAGAAAAUGACGGUACCUGGUUCAGAAGCCCCGGCUAACGACGUGACAGCAGCCGCGGUAAUACGUAGGGGGCAAGGGUUAUCCGGGUUUACUGGGUGUAAGGGGAGCGUAGACGGCAGAACAAGUCUGGAGUGAAAUGCCGGGGCUUAACCCCGGAACUGCCUUGGAAACUGUGCAGCUAGAGUGCAGGCGAGGUAAGAGGAAUGCCUGGUGUAGCGGUGAAAUGCGUAGAUAUUA
This 344-nucleotide ribosomal RNA is filed under the name uncultured bacterium. RNAcentral describes it as "partial 16S ribosomal RNA". It matches the Rfam family "Bacterial small subunit ribosomal RNA", at positions 338 to 699 of the family's 1533-position model. The record is from RNAcentral.